This 365-nucleotide long non-coding RNA is filed under the name Homo sapiens (human). RNAcentral's name for it is "HSALNT0391320". Lineage: Eukaryota; Metazoa; Chordata; Mammalia; Primates; Hominidae. The record is from RNAcentral.
UAAUGCUUCUGGUCUAAAAAACCUUCUCCCUAAAGGACAUGUUUUCACCCACUACCAAUGAUCUCAACAAAUUUCUGGAUAGAAAGGACCUAUAGACAGAGAGAUGUACUUGCCGGAUUUUUUCAUCAACUGAAGAACAGGGGCAUCUGCUGCCACAGAGAGGAGAAGUUGCUCUUUUGCCUUUGGCCAUGGAUGUAUCAGGGUGGCUGUGUAUUCGCCUGGAGAGCCCACAGAUGCCACUGACACAGCAGCUGCUCUGACAAUAGCCCAUCAAUGGCUCCUGGAAAAACCUAGUAGACUGGCAGCUUUCAUUGCAAAUAACCAGGAAAUAAGAAGAUAGUGCAUUUUAUAUUUACAAGAGUGUU